UGGGGAAUAUUGGACAAUGGGGGCAACCCUGAUCCAGCAAUGCCGCGUGUGUGAAGAAGGUCUUCGGAUUGUAAAGCACUUUCGACGGGGACGAUGAUGACGGUACCCGUAGAAGAAGCCCCGGCUAACUUCGUGCCAGCAGCCGCGGUAAUACGAAGGGGGCUAGCGUUGCUCGGAAUGACUGGGCGUAAAGGGCGUGUAGGCGGUUUACACAGUCAGAUGUGAAAUCCCCGGGCUUAACCUGGGAGCUGCAUUUGAUACGUGUAGACUAGAGUGUGAGAGAGGGUUGUGGAAUUCCCAGUGUAGAGGUGAAAUUCGUAGAUAUUGGGAAGAACACCGGUGGCGAAGGCGGCAACCUGGCUCAUGACUGACGCUGAGGCGCGAAAAGCGUGGGGAGCAAACAGGUUAGAUACCCUGGUAGUCCACGCCUGUAAAACGAUGUGUGCUAGAUGUUGGGUA
RNAcentral lists this ribosomal RNA (459 nucleotides) under uncultured bacterium. Its description in RNAcentral is "partial 16S ribosomal RNA". It matches the Rfam family "Bacterial small subunit ribosomal RNA", at positions 355 to 829 of the family's 1533-position model. The record is from RNAcentral.